UGAGUNGACUAGGCAGUCGCUGUGAUUUUGGAUUUGACAAUAGUUUUCCAUUUUGAAUAUUGCAGAGGAAAGUCCGGGCUCCAUAGGGNAGGACGCCAGGUAACCCCUGGGGGGCGAGAGUCUACGGANAGUGCCGCAGAAAGCAAACCGCCUUNAGAUGUUAUUAUCGAUAAGGUAAGGGUGAAAGGGUGCGGUAAGAGCGCACCGCGCUAUUGGUAACAAUGGUGGCAGGGCAAACCCCGUUCGGAGCAAGACCAAAUAGGUUUCCUUUGGCGUGACCCGCGCUGGAGACGGGUAGGUCGCAAGAGGCAAGCGGUGACGCUCGUCCCAGAUGAAUGACUGUCCUAGACAGAACCCGGCUUAUAGGUUGGCUCAUNGA
Molecule: RNase P RNA, 379 nt
Filed under: Porticoccaceae bacterium
Lineage: Bacteria; Pseudomonadati; Pseudomonadota; Gammaproteobacteria; Cellvibrionales; Porticoccaceae
Description: RNase P RNA component class A
Rfam family: Bacterial RNase P class A
About the family: Ribonuclease P (RNase P) is a ubiquitous endoribonuclease, found in archaea, bacteria and eukarya as well as chloroplasts and mitochondria. Its best characterised activity is the generation of mature 5'-ends of tRNAs by cleaving the 5'-leader elements of precursor-tRNAs.
Source: RNAcentral